UACGGAGGGUGCAAGCAUUGAUCGGAAUUACUGGGCGUAAAGCGCGCGCAGGCGGUCCUUUAAGUCUGAUGUGAAAGCCCACGGCUCAACCGUGGAGGGUCAUUGGAAACUGGGGGACUUGAGUGCAGAAGAGGAAAGCGGAAUUCCACGUGUAGCGGUGAAAUGCGUAGAGAUGUGGAGGAACACCAGUGGCGAAGGCGGCUUUCUGGUCUGUAACUGACGCUGAGGCGCGAAAGCGUGGGGAGCAAACAGG
This 253-nucleotide ribosomal RNA is filed under the name uncultured bacterium. RNAcentral describes it as "partial 16S ribosomal RNA". It matches the Rfam family "Bacterial small subunit ribosomal RNA", at positions 524 to 776 of the family's 1533-position model. The record is from RNAcentral.